This 75-nucleotide transfer RNA is filed under the name Acropora cervicornis. RNAcentral's name for it is "tRNA-Thr". The record is from RNAcentral. Lineage: Eukaryota; Metazoa; Cnidaria; Anthozoa; Scleractinia; Acroporidae.
GGCUUCAUAGCUCAGUUGGUUAGAGCGUUGCACCAGUAUCGCGAGGUCAAGGACGUUCAAACCCUGUUGAAGUCC